RNAcentral lists this long non-coding RNA (20130 nucleotides) under Xyrichtys novacula (pearly razorfish). Lineage: Eukaryota; Metazoa; Chordata; Actinopteri; Labriformes; Labridae. The record is from RNAcentral.
UUACACCCGGAAAUCGCGUGCUAUGUUUCUCGUUUGGAAACCUGAACCGGCAUGGUUGUGUGAAUGAAUGGACGCCCGGCAGGUAAGUGGGGGGAUGAAUAUCUAUGUGAAUGCAUGUGUAAGUCAACCUAUAGAGCUCCAAGUGUGCAUCCUUGGUAAACCCUAUCAAACAGAGAAGGGAGAUGGAAAAGUAGCGCUGUUUCAUGCGUAACUAGCGACGCUGGUGGAGGGGCUGCUAAACUUUUUACCUCGGGUCCUGGACUAUGUCACUUAAUUCUAGUUGUGUUUGCUGGUAGUCUGUUGGCAUCUAGUAGCACCAAUGCUUUUCACUUUCACGUUGACUGGCUCCAUUUGUAAUUGUCUUAAGUAUUUAUCUGCAUUAUAUCUGAGUUUAAUGGGAACGUUAUGAGCGGGCACGAGUGUGUUUGUGGGUGCCGCUUGCUUUAACAUUACCAUAACUGUGAAACAGCGCCCCCAAAUCUCACUUGUGGUCAAAAAUAUAUUGCAUCCGUAGUGUAAAGGACUACCAUUCGAAAUGAAUGGGAGACGUUAAGGAAGUAAAACUUAAGGAGAGACGCAGGACUAGGGUUUGAUUCCCUAAUGAUGAGGCAUCUUACCUUUCCCCCUCAAAAGUGUCCCAGGUUUCAAUUUUAUUAGGAGCACCGUGAAAAAAAAACAGUCCCGUCAGAAACAGUCUAAUCAGAUAAUAAGAGCAGAAGUUCUUGGUAUCAUCCUACUCACUCUUAAAAAAUAAGCACUUUCACUCUUCAUUUACCAAGAAAAAAAUAUAAUAAAUAAAAGGAUUCAAUAGACAAUAAUGUUUCCGCCCGGUUUCGAACCGGGGACCUUUCGCGUGUUAGGCGAACGUGAUAACCACUACACUACGGAAACGAUGAAUGUUGAAUGAAGGGCAGUCCAUGUAAUAUUGAACAGCAACAAUGACAAAACUAUUUAAGGGCGAAAUUACAAAGGAUUGAGCAAAAAAACUGUUGGGAAAUUGUUUCCAUUACUGCAACACUUUAAAACACAUGGUAAUGGGACUAUACCCUGAUAAUUAAAGCUUUAAUCAAUGUUUAGGCCACAUCCUGUACUGAUCUGUUUGGCACUGUCUUGUACUUUCUUUAGCUGUUUGGACAAGUAAGUGUUACAGAUAAUCAAAAAGGAUUUUAUUAGAUGAUCCAGGACAAGAUAAACUGACCCACACAGAGAAGAAGCCAGUGAUGUAUCAUGCGAGGAUGCAAAGAAGAAAGGGGUAAAGAAAUUAUUUGUCAUUCACAAGGAAAGGUUUUAUUUUGCAGCAAAAUUAAGUGUUUUUGCUUUCAUUGGUAAGAGAUUGUGUUUUUUUUUUUGUUUCCCUCGCUUUCUAAGAAUGAAAGUGUAAAAUGAGGAUUUGAAAACAAUGGUUUCAUCCGGGAUCUUGUAAAAAUAGUCACAUUAACAUAACUAUUUUUAAAGAACUCACAGACACAAAUUGAUGAAUUAUCACACACAUUAAGGUUGGUCUAUGCAUUUUAAACUGUAGACUCUGUGGUUGAUAUAACCUCUGACCUGCUGGCUCUCAGAGGGAAUUUCUUCUGUAGAUCAUGUUACUGAUUUCGCCUGAAGCCUUGACUGAAGUAAAAGUGAAAGUAUGCAGGCUGCCAACGCCGCUCACAGUGGGUUUCUUUCUUUGUUCAGUUUAUCUAGCAUUUACAACAACUGUGGAUCGUUUUCUAUGUGGACAUAACCUCUGUUUGGAUAAAGGAUAUCUACGUUAUUUACGGUGAGUUUUCUUCUAUAGUUUUUGGCCUGAUGUAGGCUCUUUAAUACAGAAACAGCCUUUAGUCAAAUACUGUCAUGGAUGUGCUGCUCCACGAAGAUGGCUUUCAUUUGUGUCGACUUUCUUUUCUAGUUUAUUCAUUUUUAGUUUAAUUGUAGAUCAUUUACAUUCGGUUUAAACAUCUCAUUCCUGUCUAGUUCAUCUGUUUUCCCUGUUUUUAACAGAGACGUGUAUGACUUAGCGGAAACUGUGAUAUUAAUAGCAGCACAAAAUCUGUUCUGACAUCUCUUUCCUUCCUUCUUCUCUUUCAUUUUAAACAGUUCUUUAAUCCUCUUUUUUACGAUGUUUCUGGUGAUGCUAAGUCUGAUUAUAAGGGCUUUUUUGCUCUUUUUCUUCAGCUGUAUGUUGGCUUAUUUUAGAGCUUAUUCUCUGAAUGUUUUAAUUCUUAAUAGUUCAAUUUAUUCGCAUUGUUCACUUUGCAAUAAACCACAAAUAGCCUAAAAGAAAAAAACUACAGUGUGAAACAGCUCUGAGCUUCAAUGCUGAUUCAUUUUUUAUUUCGGUUUGCAUGAAAUCACGUCAGUUCCGCCUUUUUUUAAAUGUCGAUAUGUUGUCAAGCGGAUACUUUCAGAUCUGCCUUCCUUGAAUCUGCAAUCCUGUUCAAAUUUUAAAAAAUUACAUGCAGGACCACAGAGAGCCACUAGAUGACGCCAAAUACACCCUGGUUGUGUUGAAGUAGCCAGGUUGAUUGUAAACAUGUAUGCCAGAGGUCAAAUGAAAAUUAAGGCUAUGGUCACACUGCAGGUCGAUUCCAAUUUUUUAACCAUUUGUGACACAUAUCUGAUUUUUUCAUGUAAGUGUGAAGUCCGACCCAGGCCUCUUUUGUAUGUUGAUAUAAAUCGGAUAUGUAUACGAUGUGACUGCAGUGUGGAAGCUCAGGUCGUGUUCAUCUGACCUGUACGUUAUCAAUAUGCAACAAACGUCACCAUUGUUCAACAACACUAACAGGCGCGGAAAGCAAUUUGUGCUUUGUGCGCCUGAGGGUCACUUCACAAAAGCAUUUUGUUCACAUUGAAUGCCGAAUUUGUUGUUGUAAUGUGAACAACCGCACAAAAAGAUCGGAUUUAACAAAAAAACCUUAUUGUGCAUCAUAACCUGCAGUGUGAACGUAGCCUAAGUGACAUUUAUCAGUCAACAUAUUCAGGUUAUAUUUCUUUUCCGUUUUUUCACUUUUAGGAAUGACUUUAUUCCUGUUUUUGUACCUUUCAUUUCAGUGUAAGCUGUAGAACCUCUGUCGAACAAACUUGGAAUUAAGAGGAGUUGUUUAAUAUGACACAGAAAAGGUUCCAAAAAAUUGAAAUUUGAACAGACUAUUAAAAACACAAAUUUCUGAGUAAAAAUGCAAACUGUGUUUUGGAAACCAUGAAACUAACUACCUAAUUUCGGUGUGGUUUUAACUUUGUUUUAGUUUGAUCUAAAGUUUUCUAUGAAGUCUGAGUAAAGCUGAUGUCGGCUGAUCUAAAGACUUUACAGAUGUAGUUUAAUCUUUUAACAGAUAACAGUGAGGCACAUUUAUUCAGCUUGUUUUUCCUUUUUUUGUUUAAUCUGAAUUAGUUGAUUGUGAUGUAAGACAAACAGGUUUGUUUGUGUUUAUCACCGCUGGAUUAAACUACUUUUGAUCCCACUGACUGACUUAUCUGAAGCAGAAUAUUUGAUCUCAGUAUGACCCCUUGAUGUCACUGUGGGUCUAAGAUUGAGUUAAAGCCCCUAUCAUUCAUGACCUAUAGGUGGCGGUAAAGCCUAAGCUAUAACAGACAUGAACUCGACUGUUGUAUGUGGCGCUUACUCUCUGUUGACGGCGUGUGAAAAAAGGAAGUGUGCACACACGGUUUCUUUGUUAAUGACUCACUGGAUACUUGCCUUGUCUGUUGUUUACUCACUUCGAAACUCGACUGGGCUGUUAACCUGAUCAUGCUGUCUUGUGUAAUUUGCAUGUUUGUGAUCGUGUGACGGGGUGAGAGAGGUCACCACACACUGUACGUGUUUUCCUGCAGUAAAAUCAGGAAAUAAACCCCCUUCAGUGUGUCUCUAGAUUACUUUUAGUCUUUUAAGGCAAGUAGGGCAUUUACAUAAUGGUAACAUGCAUAAAUAUGUGGUCUAUAAAUAUGUACAACAGAUAAAACCGGUAGUCAAAAACAUGAGUUGACUUCCUCAUACCCACAUGGCAAAACCUUUGAAAGAUACACAAGUGGCAGAAAAGAUCUGGUAAACCUGUGUGUUUGUGACGGUUUGCAAAUAGCUGAACCAGUGAUAUUGUUAGUUUCCAUGGGAACUGUUUUGAUAUUUACAGCCCGUGUUAUCAGUUAUCAGUCAGUGACCAAGAUCCAAAAACCUGUCAGUAAAAUAAAUAACAGGCUGGCACUCAUUCAUUCACCCACUUGGAGAGGAGACGCUCAUUCCUAAAGUUUGCCAAGUCCUGGCAGCUCUUUGAUAACUUGAACCCAUCGCCUUCAGAGCUUAAGUUUGCACGAACAAGUCACAAUAAAAGUGUAAAGCAGGAUUUUUUGCAAAGUUUGAAAAACUUAGGGUUGUAUUAGUAGGUCAGGUCAGUUAUUGAGUUUUUUAUGUGCCGAGUCACCUCAACUCAGUCAAACUUUGGCGCAGACUGUAAGUCAGUUUUCAUUGUGAAGGGCGCCAGUUUCUUAUCUCCAAAACACAUCUGCAGUUGGCUUUUAGGCGCAGAGAGAUGUUUGGGUUUUUUUCUUUUUUGGCUUAACCAGCAUGGUGGAGUGUUAUGCAUGCUAUCUGAUGAAGCUCAUUGGUGUUAACUGGUAUUUCUUGUUUCCUAAUGUCGAAGUGCAGGGGUGUGCUCAUAGGUUCAGGUGUUUUUCAUCAUUCCAGAUGGCUUGUUGUUUUACUUUUAUAUGAUAUUCUCUCCAGGCUGAUCAUUUUGUACCUGCUUUAAGAGGUUGUAUCUCUUUAAAUGUAUUUUCUAAGAAUACUAGACCCCUAACUUAACAAAUAGGGUCUCAGUUUUCCUUAUUUGCUUUACUGUAUCCCCCAAGUCAUGCCUCCAAACUGUAAGGAUACAGUUUCCCUCCACAAUCAGGUACUCCAAAGACUUUGAAUUGAUAAAACAACUUCCUCCUUUUCCUUGUAUUUUAUUUAAAAAGAGAUUAACUGAAUACAAACUGGAUAUAAUCAGAGUAAAUCCAUGUUGAGACAACUACAGUGGCACUGUCACCUGAUUUAUUGUAAGUGGCUCAUUUACAGUGGCCUCCCAGCUGCCAAAACGCUCCUAUUCAGCCAAGCCAGGAUGUGGUUACAGCAGGGAGUGCUACUCAGGGUCAUAAGCCCAGAUCUGGAUUUCUUUACAGCAGGCCCAUUUAUAGGAAAUGCCUCAGUGUCUCCAGUGAGCAACUCCACCCCCUGGUGAGAUGUCGGUACUGCAACCUUCUCUCAGUGCCUUCUUUUAAGUCACGUGAUUGCAAAGAAAUCGCAAAGAGGUAUGAGGCCCCUGACUCAGCUGUUGUCAGUUUUUAUUGCAUCAUGUGUUUUAACAGUUUAACUUCUCUUAUCUGAAGAUUGCAGAGUUAGGUACCGGUUCAUACACAUGAUAUGAAGCACAGGAGCAGAUCUCUGUGUUUUGUCACCUCACACUGCCUGCAUGUGAACUCACUCGUGGGAGGUUUUCACUAUGAGAGAGAAGAGUAAUCUCAGUGAGGUUGUCAUCUAAGUGAUUUGACCUCUUUCACAAACAAAUAAAGAACCUCUCAGCCUGACUUUCUCAUGACAAGCUUUGCAGAAACUAACUAUGUCAGCGUUUAAAAUUCCCCAUAGGUGUUGCCUGAAAAUAAAAGAAACAUGGUGAUGCAUGUAAUAACCAUAGAAAAGAUGUACUGUGCUCUCUUAUAUUUGUAGUCUUCUGUUGGACAACCCUUUAACCCUAUUACUCUAUCUUUGAAGACGAUGAUGAUGAUUUUGGAGCCCCUGACGUCCCAUAACUAAACCAUUUUUUUCCCUUGUGCUUAUAAAUUGAUUAUCUCAAAGGAAUAAAUAAAAUACUCUGUGCAGCCACGACAUCAGGGGCUCUGUGGAUGUCCGAACCUUUAAAGAUGGAGCGUCAUAAUUGCUGUCUUCUAUUCUGAAGUGCAAAAAGAUGUGAAUGGUUUUCUCUAUUCCAUAAUAUUUAUGAAAAGGCAUCAAAACCUGUUGUGUCAAUCCUGGAAUGAAGAAGGGCUAUGAGAUGAAAAGACGGCUUUUUGACCCUUUAUAUCUAACCUGAAUAUAUUUUAGAUUAAAUUCUAGGGUAUAGCACGAUGAAGCUGAUGGUUUGUCAGAUAUACUGUCUCGUAAGAAACAAAAGAGAUCAAAUAUAAAUAAUGCAACUUCAUAAACUCACUAAAGCAGCCCCUGUUCAUUCAUAAGCCACUGUAAAACCAUGUCAGGCAUAAAACAUGAAUGCAAGCAAAACAAGAAAAAAAAUCUGUGGUAUGUCUUUGAACUGGUCCUGCGGGCUGCAUGUUAGACUUCACAGUGUUUUGUUUUCUUCCUGUUGUCUGUCGCUGCUGUUGCUGUGUGUCUGUGCAACUUACUGCUCACCUGUGGCCACACCUGCAGCAGGUGGCACAUUUCCCGAGAAACCUGAUUCCAGAUAAAAAUGUGAUCAAGUUUUGUAUCAGCACCACGGCUGCAGAGUACUACAGACUUUAAAUGACAGUAUAGUCACCUACAGGGGUGCAGACAUGAGGCUGAAGUUAUAGAGAAUGUUUAAGAGCUUCCUCUCUCAUUAAUCAAAACGGCCGUUGACUUGUGUUAAAUUUCAUGCACACACACACAGACACACACACAGACACCACAUUGUGAGCAAAGGCUGUAACAUAAUCCUUCAGUGUUAAUUUACAGUUCUGUUUGCAGGGUUGGGUCUGCUCCCUCAGAUAAAAUUUAGACAUAAACAUACCGUUACAUGUUUCCUACACACUUCAAGACGAGCAUGCUGUGUGUAUUUAUGAGGGUCAGACAAAGGCGAGUUGUAGAAUUCGAGAAUACGUGGGGGUGAGGAAAUGUAGGACGGUUCAUGUCCGCCCAGGGUCACGUCAGCCCUUGAAUCUUGCUCUAUGCCUGAACAUAUUCACUACAGGUUAGAGCCUUUCCAACUCCUCACACUGAUUCAAUCUCUUGGUGUGAAGUUAUGGAACUUGUUAUUUCAAGUGAUGCAGGUUGAUUGAGGGCAUGAGGAUGCACUCUUUAAAUUCUUCAUUGACGUCUCUAUCCACUUUUAUUUGGCACUUUGGAGAAGUCUUAAAUCUCCCUACAGACAGCAAAAAAAAACUAUCAUACGAGUGCCUAAAGAAGUCCAAGUGUCUCAUCAUUUCUGUGUUAUUAAUCUAAUCUUCUAAAAGCAAAGGAAGAAGUUCUGCUUCUUUAUUGGUAGCCUGUUGGAUAACACACAGUUUGGAGUGAGACAAGACUCCUCUGCUUCAUGCCAGGGUCCUGCACACUCUGACAUGUGUCCAAUCCGCAUAACCAGCUGUUUGCUAUGAAUCAUCUCUUACUCAUCAGAGAGUAGUCCAGAGAGGUCAGGGGUUGUCGCGACAGAUAGUUGAGCGUUGGAUCAGACUAUUGCACAAGAUACACUCUUAUUCCCUGUGAGAGUCUGAGUUUGCUCUUUUUACACGACGCCCAUCCUCAUGACCUUUAACCUCCAAGGGCUGUUUUGCAAGGGCAGAUAUUUGGAGUCUAUUUUUCCUCUUUCAUAAAGUUUUAUGCUGCUACAGAACUUCUAUUUUUGAAGUAGUAGCUGCUGCAUUGGUUCAUGUUUAAAGUAAAAAACUACACCCUUUUUUCUGAAUGUUUAUGAACUUUUAGAGAAAAGCACAAACACACCAAACAUUAUGCAUUCAAAGCAGAGGGAAGCAGAAGCAUGGCUUUAGUUCUUUCCAGAAAGUCAGCUGACUCUCUCUCUCUCUCUCUCUCUCUCUCUCUCUCUCUCUCUCUCUCUCUCUCUCUCUCUCUUCACUCGUGCUUGGUGUGUGGACACAGUCACACUCUCUCUUUAUUUGCCCUGUUUGUCCCCACAUACACAGAUGCAUAUACUCUCUCUCACUCACACACACACACACAGGCACACACCUACGUAGUUCUUGGAUUCUUGGCGGGCAGCUCCUGUUGUCCGUUGGCGUGUCAGGCUCUGUUUAUAUUUAAACAUGACAGUUUGAAUGAGUUAGAUCUUUCCAGCUGGUGUUGAGGAGUUUUUUAUUUAUUUUAUUUUUUGGUUCAUAUAAACAGCCGCUGUGGCUCAUUGGUGGAGUCCAUUUUCUCUCAACCAAACAGUUGCUGGUUUAAGGCCGUUACACAUCGGGAACGACGCAAAUAUACGAUGUGAGAUUACGAAAUAUUCAGAGGCAAAUUUUGACAGACCUGACUAUACACAUCAAGCGCGAUGCAAUUUUGCGAGAAGACUGACACAACAGCAGACAGGGGGCUCUAUUUUCGUGCGCGCCGGUGAGGCGGCGGAGGGCGGCGAGCCCCGCGCAGUUGUAUUUUCGUCUGGCGGAGCCCAGCGUAAGGCCAAUUUGGUAUUUUCGUGGCAUGAGCCGCACGGAGGCGAGCCGAGAUCCGCCAAGCUGGGCGUGGUGGUGUGGCAGGGGGAGGUGUCGACAGAAUCAGCUGGCGCAGUGACAUUUUCGUGCUCGCCAACGGCGUGUAAAGUGCGCUGAAAGCUCGCCGAUUCAAACCUGGUCAGCUUUCAGCGCAAGGCGGAACGCAGCUGGUCUAGAAGUAUUUUGGUAGACCGGCGGCGUAUCGACAUACGUCACUGAUGCCUCACCGGCAGGUUUCCACAGUGUCAGGCACAUUUCAGUGCAAUAAAUAAUCAUCAUCAACUAUUAAUCUGAGUCAGCACAUACAUUUAGAUCUAUAUCGAUAUAUUCUGAUCUAUAUGUGAUCUGAUGAGCGCGUUUGGCACGCGUUUGGACACACAACCUGACCGAAUCAACACAGCUGAAACCGCAUCAAAUUAAAUUAAAUAUCUAGUAAAUAUACACACAUGAUGAAGUUAACAAGAUAUGUAAUUCAUCUCCCUCCUUUUCUUUCUUCCUCUUCCUCUUAUUUCUCGCACAGCUCGACCUGGACACAUCUCCGUGUCCUCUGUCCGUCUUGCUGCUGCUGCAGCUGAACAGAUGAUUUGUUUCAGUGCUCAGAUGCGUUAUCUACUUUAAGCCGACAUACGGAUAUUAUAAUAUUCAGUUUUGUGAGCCAAAUUUAUUUUAUAUGCCAACAUCUAUGAAAGAAAGAGCCAGGCCACGGAGCGUGAUGCGUCAUUUACGCACAGAUGGUUCCGAUUUUAGUGCCAUUUUUGGAGUUUAUGUUGUGAUCUGUGCGCUCAACCCACCUUUGUCACGUGAGGUUUGAAUAUGAGCAACUUUAUGUGAGUGUCUUUAUUUGUGGAAAAGGGUGUUUGUCUUACCAGUGGGUCCAACAUUACGCACACUAAAUCCAUCUGUGCUCAUAUGAGAGAGUGUGGAGGACACUUGUUGAGGAGCUGCCCUCUGUCGCCAUCUUGUGGCAUUACUGUCUUAAGACAUCUCUUGAUCUCUUUGACUACUUCAUGAAAAUAGUAAUACGCCUCGCCUGUGGCGGAUUUAAAGGCAAGGAGAGGAGCCUAUGUGAUUGGUGAAAACAGGUCUCGGCUGUGUUAAACCCACUUCACGCUUUUCUCCUCCCCGUCUACGAAUUAUGGUGCUGGGAGGAGCUGAGUUAGGGAGGGGGGAUACUUACGCCGGGCUGCGCGGCUCACCAAAAUACCAAAAUGUGCUUGGGAACGCCUUGUCAGCGCGGCGGAUCUGACUGACGCUGCGCUUGCGGCACGUCUCCGGCGAGGCAACAAAAUAGAGCCCUGAGUGUUUUCAGUUCUGAUUAGACACUAGUGUUGAGAUGUCUGUCUGUCAUGAUAGCAUGUACUGAGUCGGGGCCAGUAUCAGAUAAACACAUUAAACUAUAAUCCAUAAACGUAAGGUAACAACCGAGACCUAAUGGUGCUGUGACAGCAACAUGAUUGAGUUUGAGACAGUGAAAAUACAUAUGGUAUGUUGUAUCUGAACAGGUUAGCUUACGAGCUAAAGUUACUUAGCACAGAUGAAAGUUAAAACAAAGACGUUUAGCAAACUGUUAAAGCACACAAACCAUCGUCAUAUGAGAAAUCCGACACUAUGACUCUCCACAAGUUAUCCUUCAGGUCGUUAUCUUUGUAAUAUUUGUGUUUUUUAUCAAAAAGCACUCUGUUCUCCGACACGUAAACAAACAGCCAGUCGGCCAUGUUGGAUAUACCGGUGAAUCUGAUGUCGCAACAACACGCAAUCUGAUUGGUCGGAAGAGGACACACAGUAUGCAAAACUUUAGAAAAAUAGUCAGUGAAAUGAAAAAAAUAUUGCAGGAUGGGAAAACAUCGCUGAUGUGAACACUUGUAUUGACAGGAUACAGGUUUGAAAAAAAAUAUAGAUGUCAGAAAUAAUUGCAUGAAAAAAACGCUCCCGGUGUGUAAUGACCUUUAGCCAGAGCCCGAAUAGUUUCUGGUGGUGGGGUUUCUUUCUAAUGAAUUACAACAGCAAUAAGGUGUGGCACCGCUGGGGGGUCAUUAAGGCCGUUAUUGGUUUGACAGAUGCCUCCAGCUCAUCUGUGCCGUCAAAAACCUCGAAGAGUUCAGGUCAGGUGAGCUUUUGUCUCCAAGCCGAGCUGUUGGCAGUUUGGUGAUACAGGAUUUCAACAUAGCUUCAAAUAAAAACUCUAUGAUGAAAGUACAUCAUUUAUUUUUAACCUUUAAUGAAUCAUGAUGAUUUAGGUGAGCUGUAUGACUAACUCCUGUUGGUUGCAAUUAUUGAAUGACAAAUACUAUGAGUUUUGAUUAACAGUCAUUUGACAAAUAUGUUGUUUUGAUUGUCAGUGUUUGUAAUUCUUUGACUCCUUUAACUCAUUUUAACUUUUCUGAAGGGGUUUCGGUGUCUUACAUUUGUACAGCUGAAGAGAGCUCUGACAUUUCCUGUAAAUCAGCAGACUAAUUACAAACUGUGUUUACACACUCGUGCACACACACACACCCUCCAAACUCUGUCACUCUCCCACCCACAUCCGUUCAGCUGGAACAUGCACCAAGUCAGUCAGCCUCAAUUAAAUCUACCUAAAUGUAUAAGCUUUUACAUGCAGCAGGUACGUUAUCAGACAAUCUGGAUGAACAAUCAUUUUGAUUUUAGUACGAAUGCAUGUAGUGUGAUGUUGAAACUUUGUGAGAAAUCGAAACCUACCGUGACAGAUUAAUCACAAAGUUGGGGUAUUUUUUUUUUAUAUUGAGAAAGUCCUUUAGUAUUCUCCAGUAUAAAAAAGUGGUGUAACCAAAGCUCUAUUUUGGUGAGACGGAUGUUGAAAACAAUAGUAUGGCUGCGAUAGCUCUCCUGUUAGCAAACAGAUGCUUCCUGUCCUCUUUUUUUCUUUCCAGCUAUCAGAGGAUGACUAUGAGUCCACAACUUUCUCAGACAUUUGCCUCUUCCCCUCCAGCAUGAGUACAAAGCUGAGGCCCUCUGAUAAUGCCUCCUUUACUAUAUCAGACAGUCACACCCUGACAUUUCUCUUUUUACCCAAAGUUAGAGAAGUGAUUUGGUUUUAUCACAGUGGGGAAAGGUGGGGACUUUUGCUUGAUGUGAAGUUUCCACAACAUAAGAAACUGUUGCAAGUGUAACUUUAGUUACUGUGGUGAGCAGAAAAAAGAGUGUAAAGUUGCAAAAACUCCUCUAACAUGAACAACAUCACCAGUUUGGGUUCAUUGGUACUUUUAUCUGCUGCAUUCACAUGUAGGCUCACUGACCAAGAGUGCUCAUGGGUUAGACUCAGUUCAGAGUUUGGUAAUCUUGUCAUAAUAUCUUCUGUUGAUUUAGUUUUUCACUGGUUUUAUUUGAGUGCAUUUUGUGUAUUUUCCCUAGUGUUUCUGUUCCCAAUUGUGUGAGUUUUUAGUUAGUGUUUGACCCAGUUUCCCUCCUGUUCUCUGUGUUUUAUUCUUAAGAUCACUUUUCUGUUUCAUGUUUUAUUUUGUAGUAGUUUAUUCCCCGUGUUUCUGGUCUGGUUGUACUUCCCUAGUUUUCCCUCUUUCGUUAAUCACCUGUUGCUCAUUUCCAAGUGUUUAUAUAGUUCCUGUCUUCCCCUCUGUCCUUGUUGGUUCAUUGUAUGUCGAUAUGUGUGUAUCCCUCUUCUUAGGGUCUGCAGCGACCUGUUCUUGAUUUCAAAUGCUAAAAAGAACCCCUUAAACUGAAGACUUUUUGACUUUGUCAGGAACCUCUAUUUCAACAAAAUAAAAAAAAUAAAAGUUAAACUGACUAAAUUAUAAAAUGCUCUUAUUAAAAUGAUGGCACUUGUUGUGUUGGGGUCGCUGUUGACCUGGUUAGAUCAAUAUCUAAUAAUCAGAGCAAAAAUUGAGAUCAUAAGUGAACUGCCAGACACCACACUGACAGUCAGAUCCUCCUCCAAUCAUGAGGGAUUUAGGAAAUUCUCAAAAACAAUGUCGGGCAUGUCCAGACAUGUGAGAUCAGUUUAGUAUAGAUGUCUGUAUGAGGGGUAUACUGACAAAGAAAGGCCCAGGGGCCCACAACAAAAAAAUAAUACAAGCAAUAUUUUCAUGGAUAAAGAAGCCUAACAAGGUAACCUAAAGAUGAGAACCAAACUAGAUGAUAGAGAAUUGUUUUUAGUGUAAUUUACAGCUGAUUUAAGACACAGGUCAAAAACCGACCCUUAACAUGGUGGGUGCGUAUUAAAAGCUAAAACAGGAGGAAGGUUUAAGCCUGUGUCCUCUUGUUCCUUGUGGUUUUUUCCACCAAUGUUUUUUUUUAUUUUGUAUUUAGCCUUUUGUAUUUUUUCUGGUUGGACAUUUUGAAGAAGGUUUUUGUUUUUUCAUUUAGUUCUUUUUAAUCUAACCUGUAGCCCCUCUGUGAAGUCUUUGACAUUUUCUUAGGCGUGGGAGUAUAAAAGUAUAUUUUCUUUAAAUUCGGCUUUGCUUCUUUUUUUAUUUGCUGUGGACAAAGUAUUGCGGUUAUGAAUCCGUUAUGAUACUUUACAUUAGUCAAAACAAACUACAGCUUAAAAAUGUGAACUCAACCUUCAACCAUAUUUCCAACAAGGCACGAGUUACGUAGUGUGUAGGCUACCUGCGCGUCAGUAUGAGUGCAUGACAAAGAGCCACUGUUGCUGAGCAGAAUGAGUCAAAAUGAAACUUACACACAACUGCUGCAAACUGACAAGAUUUAUAGAUCUCAGUUAAGGUGUUAGAAAUCUGAAUCAUAAAUCUGUUUUGACAGAAAGAGCUGACAGUAAAUCUGACAGAUUUUUCAUGAAGAAAGAACAGAUUUAUCUAACUCUUAAAGUUGAGAAACGUCUCCUUUGAGUGAGAAUGAUUAAACUUAAUUAUUCAUUCUUUUCAUCAGUUAGGCCAACUGGAGAAGAAGGCGUUAUCCAGGUGAAGCUGGGAGGAGAACAAAAAGCGAUAAAUGCAAAUCUGCUCUCACACCCCAGAGUUUGUCCUCUUGUUCCUCUUUAGUUGGUGGCCUGCUGACAUCAGGAAACACAAACUCAGUUGUUGCGUGUGACUGCAAAAUCUAGACUUCAACUUGUAGUGGCAUUAUAUACUGUAACUGGAUGACAAGUUAACUACAGGUCAGACAUAGCUGCUUUUGUCAUUUAAAAACCCUCUGUGUGUGACCUUAUUAAGUUAAAGCAGGUUUUUAUUGUCUAUUGGUAUGUACUUUCUAAAAAAAACCUGAAAAAUCACAUUCCUUGGAACUUUUGCUGACGCCAUUUUGUUUAUUAAUAGUAUAUUUGGUUCAUCCCAAAAAUCAGUCAUUUUAAGUGUCUCCAAACACAGCAAAGCUUCAGAAAACAUAAAAUAAUAAUCAUCAUAAUAUCUUCAUCUACAUAGCACCUUUAAAAACAGACGUUGACAAAGUUCUUGAACAGAGACAAGAAGAGUCAGGCGAAAAGACACAGAUUUGAUUUUGAUUUUGAUUUAUUUAUUUGCACAAAAUAUAAAAUAACAAAACAAGGUUAAAAAAUAUAAAAACAUAGAGAAGUGUGCAGGUGAGAGAGGAAACCCCGGAGGGCUUAUACAAGGCUCCCACCUUAAACAAUCAAAAUCACAAACAACGACAAUCGCAAAUAUUACAAAGAAAAAUGAGGACAACCUUCAAUAUACAUAUACAAAUAAUCAAUAAUAUGUGGAAUUUGCAAAUACAAAUAAAUUGAUAACAGUUGAUAGUCGACGGCAUCACAUCAAGAAAAUGGAAAAGAAGUCGGUGGAUAAAGAAUUGAUAAAAUAGUAAGAAUGAAUAAAUAAAAUAAAAUGAUAAUACAAAUAAUAAUUAGGAAAGGAGUGUAAGAAGAUGGUGAAGACAAAACAAUGAGCAACCGGUGAGGAGAUAAAGAACAGCAGAGAUUAAAAAUAUUAGAAUAAGUUAUUGUAAGACACAAAAUAGAAUAAUAUAAAUAACUAACAAGGUUAAAAAACAGGUAUGAGGGCGAUAAAAAAGGCAUCAUGUCAAAGCAAGUCUAAACAUGAAAUUCCCACUAAUGGUACCUAUCAGGAUGUUAUCUUAUCUCUUGAAUUGAACGUUAGCUUUGUGUUUUAGUCGUCCUCUUAUUUCAUUGUGUUCAGAAACACCUGUGCAAGCAAUAUCCUCAAAUUAUUCCCUCCCACACACACAGACAGACACAACACCAACAGCUGUCAUCUCAGCGAGUCUUACCCCACCCUGACCAUUUCCCAUUUCUAAAUGUCUCUGAUCUGUAAGCAAAUUUCACCAGCAGCACGUUUUAUAACAAAUAAUAAAUCAAACAGGUGUUUUCAAAUGUUUCACUUGACAUCGCAUGUUCACAUCAGGGAAUUCAUGCAUGGAUGACACUAGUCAGUGAUGUGGUUUCGCAACAAUCAGAGGUUAAAACUGUGCAGAAUAUCUUCAGGCAUAAUUUUAAUACAAUGAAGGUUGGUAUUUAGCGUGAGCUGUCACACCUCGAUCAAUAAAUAAAAGGGACGCACUUUUCUUUGAAAACACCAGCAGGGCAUGUGUCAGAAACAUCAUAACAGAGAUUAUUUUAAUUGAUGUUGAUGUUCCGAUUAUUAAAAAUUAUUAUCCAUGAUCUGACAUUUGCACAAAUUAAAAGCUCUUAAAAACUUCAAGAAGUUAGAUGUACUAUGCCUGAAAUGGAUCAUGAAUCAAUUCUACACUUUGAGAGCUUUGGCUUCAUUUUGGUGAUAACCUUGCCAAACUAAACGCCAGAUUUUACUUUUUGUAAAGUAUUUUGUCAUAAAGAUGGAAGGAUUUGAGCUCUUUUGUCACUUACAUUUUAUCACAGGCUGCAGAGCUGAUGAAUCAUGCAGUCUUCUCAAGGUUUUUUAUAAUGUCAGGACUUGAGCUUGUACUUUAUCGUGAUUUGGAAGGACGCUCCUGCAUGCUCGUGAUCUUUACACUCUCUUUUUAUGCUCAUUAUGUCCCUCACUUUUUCAGACACAGUUUUGAUUAUACCUGUAUGACUAAACAAGAUUUGGUUGUUUACCUACACUGACAAGCAGGUGUUUUAUAUUGUGUAACUCACAGCACAUCUUAGACUUUGCUUUGUAACAUCAAUUUGACUCUAAUAACUUGAUUACAUGACAAGUUUUCAUGGUUUGUACUUGUUCCUUUUUUUUUUUUUUUUUCUGGUUUUUUGGUUUUGGUGUUGUUAGUCAGGGUCACGAGAUGAAAACUCAGGGAAAUACCAAGAGGGUUUGAUUUUUUUCUUCCAGCUCUCGAGGUGUGAAUGUGUGUGUUGGGGGUGGAAGCGUUAGAGGAAGAUAAAUGCUGCGUUUUCAACUCUGUCAUUGCACAACUAAAAUGUGGAAAAUGUUUACACUCUGUGGGUGGAAAGCACCGGAGAUAUCUUUGUCCCCCUACAUGGUCUUACGCGCACGCGUGCAUUCACACACUUCGACUUGUGUCGCGUCUAAUGUGGUUUUUGCUUUUGAGGUGUUUUGGCUGCUGUUUCAUCUCUGUAGGGCAGGGACCAAACAACGGCUCAGUGUGUGAGAUUUGCCUGUCACGCCUUUUUCUGUGGUCAACUGCUCACCGGAACUUUGCCAAAGUUUUCUUCAGUCAAGUUUUAAUUUGUCUUUCUUAUGAUACAUUGCCAAAACUCUAGAGUCAAUAUGCAAACUAGUAAGAUUUCACCUUUAAACAAGGUAGAGCAGGAAUAAGGUCAUGUGAUGAUUCAGAGCUGGAAGAAGAACUGUAACACACUGACUGUAUAAAUAUGCACCUAGCUGAACUCUCUUGAAACAUGCUAAACUUUAUUUAAAGUACUAAAAAAAGAGAAGUUGCAGUGAUGUGCUGUAUGAUCUUCCAUUUUUACUUUCUAAAACAUUACAACCACUCUUCUUCUUCUUCUUCUUCUUCUUCUUUUUCUUCUUCUUCCUCCUCCUCUCCUUCUUCUUGUUUUUGUCCUUCUUCUAACACACUCAGUGGUUGGAAGCUUUCGAGUUUCGCUGUGUACGUGCAGUCCAUUUCAUUUUUUGGGUCAUAGUAAAACAGACUCAUCUCUUUUUAUAUACGUAUAUAAAGUGUCUUGGCAGUUCAGAGACUUCCACAGAGACCUUUUCCUCUUCCUCCUCCUCCACUGAACUUUGUUCGUAUGAAAAUACGUGGAGAGGAGAGGAAACAUUUUAUUUACUCACAUCAGACACAAAAACAGUCAAAGCAUCUGUGCAUGCAUUCAGUCAGAUGACCCUGAAGUUGUUUGACACACUAAUGUGUAUUAUUCAUAACAUUUAAAAGAUUUUAGACACUGAGUGUAACACAAACGUAUACUUUAUGGAUAAUGCAGUACGUAUCUGUGUGUUUUCUUCCCGUUUCAAGAACUAACCAUGAUCAACUCUUGUUAAAUUCAACAGUUUCACAGAAGCUUCACAUUUUAUAAAUCCUCAAACAUAUAUAUUAUGAUGGAGCAUCAUUGCGCAAAUAUUUAAUAUAUUUUCUCCUCUGACACAGUUUCAAACUCUGUAAAUAAUCUCAAAAACUAACAACAUCAUCAUUUUAUCUCAUACAUAAUAUUUCACUAAAAAAAUCCAAAUGAAUUGGGACUACAUGAUUAUUUUUAUUAUCAUGGGAAUUUCCUGGUGGAGAUUUUCCAGAGUUAAAUAUAAAACAAUGUAGUAAAGCGGUAUUUGCAUCAAUAAUGUGUAAUUUUUUGUCAUUUCAAUUUACCGUCAUCCUCUUGAGAGGAGUUUUUACGUGAUUUACAUGGCAAAAGCGUACAGGACAAAUCAGCAAGGAGGAAAAAAAAAGUACUGAUUUAUCCACAAAAUGUAAGAAAGGAACCUUUAUGGGUUUACUCUCCUGUUUAUGAACUUGUUAAUCUAAUUUAAUAAUCAAGUUGCCACUGAGUUUAAAUUGAGUAGACAGAAUUUUUCCUAAACACAUUAAUGUUGGUUCACCUAAUUCUCUACGGUUAACUUAACCCAACUUUGUUAAAGUUUAGAUAAUAAGAAAACCAUUUUCACUGCUGCAAGUCUCAGUUUUAGAAAACACCAUUUAAAAACACACAAAAAGUUCUCACAGUACCUUCAAGUCAAGUUUAAGUAGUUUAAUCUUCAUGAGCUGGCCGUUGAAGUCAACCCAAGUGUUUAUCAAGUCAAGAAGAUCGCCAAAUUUUUCUACUUGUCAGCACAAGUCAGUUCAAUAUCUUGCCCUUGUUGGUUUUGCAGUUUGUUUGUUUUCUCAUACAUCAUGUUUCCCGAGCAAAAUGUCUUCUAAACAGUUCAAUUUGACAGCUUUUUUUUUUUUUUUUUGAGAACUUUAUUCUCAGGAAUUGCUCAAGUAGAAUCAAAACAGCUGCUUUCAAAUUUAAGGAUUAGGAUUUUAAGAAGGCUGUGGCUAAGAAAAAAACAACAACAGCAUUCAGGUAGUGCCACAGAGCAAUAGAAGGUGUUUAAAAACAACACAAACUGUUCACUGAAGCUGUAAGGAAAUGACAAGAGGAUCUUUAGGACCAGGUACUCACUACAGAAGAGCUCAUAGUGGAUUUUAACGCUUUAAAUGAGAUUAAAUUAAUUCUGUAUUUGCACCUGUCACGCUUGUUGGACUUCUUUAAAAAAGGAAAAUGUCUAAUUUAAAAUGAUCAACUAUUUAAUUGUAUUACAGUAAAAAUAAUGAUGAGAAUGAACAAAGACUACUUUAAAAAAAGGGAAUUCUGACUAUUUUUAUCAGUUUUACAUGAUUAUGCAACAUACAACCUUUUGGCACAUUUAAAAAAUAAUCAAAUUUUGCCCAUAGUUGUUGUUUCUUCCUCUUUUUUUUCAUAAUUUCCUGUUAUACAUAUUUAACUAUUUUUUUAUGCACUUAGAUAUCAUGAUUUCUGUAAAGGCAGAUAGAUGCACAUAUUUCUAAACAUUCUGGGUCACCGGUGACUUUAGGAAACAACUUCACUUGUUUUUUUUUUGACUCAGUGAAAGACUUUGAUCCAUGCCUGAACACAUCAUUUUCAACCAAAGUGUAUAGAGGUCAUAAAAGUAAUCAGGAGGUCAUGUCAAUUGAUUAUUGGGCAGAUAUCAAAAAGGUUGAACACAGGUCAACAUUUUACAGUCCUAAAGCCGCUGCGUCAUUUCUUUGUAUUCACCAAGCACUAAAUACUGAAUGAUAGCGAUGAUUAGAUGCUGGCACAGCUGCAGAAAUUAUCACUAGUUAAACAAUGAUGUUACAGAUUAAAAAGUUUCUUUUUUUAUUGUUAGUACAUGUUAUCAUGUCAUUUGUUUUCAUAUCUAUGUGAAAUGUUGAAAAUUUCCUUAAAAUAAUUGACAUAUCCUAAAGCGUAAUAGAGGUCAAGGGUGUGUCCAGAGAGGUGGUUUAAGGUGGCAUGGACCCCUUUAAACUAUGACUGAAAUUUUCUGUUGGACUCAUAGUCCCAUCCUCACAAUAAAGGCGUAAAAAAGACCCUUAAAGAUAUAAGGAGUGGAAACAGAGGGAGGAGGUAAAGGCACAUCAACACAUCAUAGAUAAGAGAGUACAUCUCCUCCAGGAUUAUAAAAUUAAAGGAGUGAAGUAUAGAAAAGAUGCAACAUCUUUAGUCGCAGAGAAUUGUUAGAGAUGUGAAUUACUUUCUUCGCAGGCUUGAUGUUAUCACCUAUUUAAGAUAUUGGCUUCAGAAACGUGAAUUAAAGGCACUGUAAGGAGUUUUUAAAUGCUUGAGAAACAGGCUGAACCUGAUGCUCAUGCCUCUUUAUGAUCUAAAAGAAACAUGAUCAUCAGCAACAAGAGUGAAAAUAUCUCAGUAGUGAUAUUGGACGUCUGAAACCACCUUGAGGGGGUAGGUGUCAAACCAGAGGAUUGACAGGAGACAGCUUGAGGGUUUUGUCCAAAAAGCCGGCUUCUCUCAGUCCACAAACCAAAAGCUCAGACUUUUGUAACUACAGGCAGGACUUUAGUUUGAAUGCAACAAAUACUAACUUUGCUUUCAGACUGAUCCAGUCUUUCUACUCCUUAUUUGGUUAUUUAAGAGGGACGCAGGUUUUCCACAUUUCUAUGAGUUCUUUUGCUUCCUUCAAAUGUGUCCUGGAAUUUGUUUCAUAAUGCAGAAACGUUUUCAAUCAUACUUCAUCUUUUUUCUUUUUACAGUCUGCACGAUAUCGAAGUAAUCCUGGUUCCCUUCACGUCUCCGUCUGCUGAAGGAGGAAGGCUGCUGGAUCACAUCCGUCUACAAAGGAAGAGUGUCUGAAACUAGAAGGAUGACAGACUGUGGGAACUGCUAAUUUGUCAUGAUGUGGACACGAAGGGUUAGAGCCAUUUUAACAGUUUCACAUCUGCAUUUUAACUUUUUUUAAAAUCCUUUACACCACACAGUCAGUGGAUCUGAACAUGGCUUUUAAAAGGAUGUUUUUAAUACCAAACACGGACACCGAUUUUGAUUUGGCGCGAUAUAUCCGCCGUAGAUGAUCGGCAACAAUAAAAAGCAGACCUUCAUGAUAAGGGGGAUAUCAAACACGGAACAAAAGACGUUACUCAGGUACGGUUGUAUGAAAUGUUUAACACACAGCUGCACGGCGUCGACCCUGACCUCAGUUUGGCUGAUUAAUGAUUCACCUGUUAUGUAGCCUGUUUGCUUGUUAUACUUUGAUAAAGCUAUGAUGUGUGUUUUUUUUUAUACCAGCGCAGUAAACAAGGGGGGGAAAUCAAACUUCCAUAUGAGGUGAUAGAGUUUUUAAAAAUAGUGGUUUGAUGAUAAAGUCACACACUACAACGAGCAUUGUAUUUAAAUCAAGUGUAUUGUGAACGGCUAUCUAUAAAUUACAAUAAAUUUAUGCAUUUCUCUACUAA